GAAAAUUACAAGCAUAAGCUCGAAACUCAAAGGACUUGGCGGCGCUUUAGAUCCACCUAGAGGAGCCUGUCCUAUAACCGAUAACCCCCGUUAAACCUUACCUUCUUUUGCCCUCAGCCUAUAUACCGCCGUCGUCAGCUUACCCUUUGAAGGCCUCAUAGUGAGCAAGCUCGGUCAAGCCCCAGACGUCAGGUCGAGGUGUAGCAUAUAAGAAGUGAAGAGAUGGGCUACAUUUCCUAUAUUAGGGACUACGAACAAUGUUUUGAAACAAGCAUAUUGAAGCAGGAUUUAGCAGUAAGAAAAAAAUAGAGUGUUUU
Molecule: ribosomal RNA, 317 nt
Filed under: Melanorivulus violaceus
Lineage: Eukaryota; Metazoa; Chordata; Actinopteri; Cyprinodontiformes; Rivulidae
Description: partial 12S ribosomal RNA
Rfam family: Bacterial small subunit ribosomal RNA
Source: RNAcentral